ACCACCGUUAAACCUCAUCAAAGAAGAAGAAUAAGAUCUAGAGCUGAUUUGCAACCCGCCGAAGCAGGUCUGGAGAAGAAGGAAAAUGUCUCCUGUCUCCACACGCACCGUUCUAGGAUCAGCUGGCCGUUAGGAAAACGCAAACAGUAAAGUGACUUUACCCAUAACUGAUCUUAGAGCAGUGUGUAAGCUCAUUCUCAUCCUACCCCGGACACUGCGACAAAUACAGAAAGGUUCAGGAGAAACUCUUCCACACUCCAAAACAGUCACCCAGGAAUUAAAGAGGAAGUGACAUCAGAGCAGAUGGAAUCAAAUCCCAGCCUGGCGGGGGUGGACUCCCAGGGCAACAUGGUGUUCAGAGUGGUUAAACCUGUCAUGGGCAUCUUCCAAGUGUCCUCAGAACAGACCAACUCUGUCGGACAGGGAGGGUCGCAGCAGAUGAUGGUUGGGGGGCUGACGGGGUUACAAGGGUUAUCCAACCUCCCCUCCAUGGUGCUGGGGGAUGGACAGGGUCAGGGCCAACAGCGAAUGGGGGACGUGAACCAGAUGCAAGCCCAGAUUCAGAUCCCGGCAGAGGACAUGUCCCAGACCCAGGUUGCCGCUCCGAACCACAACCACGUACCCCAUGUUCCGUUUGCAGAGGUGUCGUCUCUCUUGGACCCCAACAUGAAGAGUUCCAAGGCCCGUAAGUACCUGAUACCCUAUGACGAGAUCAAGCGUCGUCUGGAGGCUCCAGAGAAGAUGUCUCUGCGUUCCCUAGCAGCCUACACCAGGGUCAGCCGUGGCCCGGCCAGCAAGAAAACCCUGCAGGAGUCUCUAAAUAUACUGGGCCUUACUCCUGGUACUACUACUUCUGUGUCCUCUUCCUUUUCCAAGCUCACAGAGGGUGACACCAAAGCCCUGUGUAAUGACAUGAAGGACUUUGCCCAUGACUACAUAGACUUUGGCAACAUGGCAAAGCAGCUUAUUCCAGAGACCAACACUGUCCAACACUGGUCCAAGGUCAUAGAAACCAGGAGCCACCUGGAGGCGAUGAGAAAGUGUUUUCGUGACCCGGUCAACAGUGCGUCGUUCGACAACGUGACUCAUGGCUUGGGCCUCGGGAUGCUCGACGCCGCCCCUCGACAUGAUUACCAUGGUGAUUGACAAACAAAUUCGCAUCCUGUCCGGUGCUGCGGCAACCGAUCCCGUCGACACCGGCCCUCCAAUGAGACGCAUCCGCCGCCGCCACCGCAAGCCCCGAGACACCGGCAACGACAAACCGCACCGGUCGUUGGGUGGGGUUAAAGGUCAAGACAAAGGGUCAGGGAAGGGCAAAGGGAGGGGCAGAGGCAGGAAGAAGAUGCGGCUGCAGGAGUCUGGAGCUCCAGUUGGUGUUGCCAUGGAUACAACCCAGCAGCAGGAUCAAGAGCAUUGUCAGCCGGAGGAUGUGGAGAGCAGUGUUCUCACACUCGUCUCUGUUGGUUACGAGACCAUCUCCAGUGGGCUCAAUGCCACAGGGCAGAUCUAAAGAUGUUUAACGGUUGAACAAACAAUGCUUAACGCGAGAAUCGGACUUUGCUUAAUAUUUUCCCAUGGGGAAGCUGGGAGCAGAACUGUCUUAGUAACGUUGUGGAACAUUGUGGAACGUUGUGAUGUUUAGACGCAACUCUGCUCUGGCCCACAGAACCCCAAACACUGAGAGGGAGGCAUUCAGUGAUGUCACAGCAUUCUAGUUUAGAGUUUUGUUUUUGAGUGUUGCAGCUCUUGCCUACUGAUAAUUCAAUCAGUUGAAUGUAGUUUUUUUGUCAGUUAGCACAGAGGUGAUGAACGCAGCUUUGUUGAAGUGGAAUUCAAGUCAAUCCAAAGAUAAGUGAUUAUAUUGAAAAACCUACAAUGUAGAAAUUAGUCUUAAUUCUGGUCUUUGGUUAAGGCAAUCCCUUCAUUCCACCUACUCAUCUGGUAUUUGAUAGCCCUGUUUAUUUCUAUCAUGACUGGACUAGUUAUAGCCCUCUCUCAAUCUCCAUGAUUCUAACAUGGGGAACACAUCAUGCCAGUACUUUGUCAAUGAUUGUAUGUUUAUAUUGAAACCUGGAUUGCUGAAAUACUUGUAUUAAAGCUUUCAUUUUAUUAA
RNA transcript from Salmo salar (Atlantic salmon), 2113 nucleotides. RefSeq lists it as uncharacterized. Lineage: Eukaryota; Metazoa; Chordata; Actinopteri; Salmoniformes; Salmonidae. The record is from RefSeq and is a predicted model, not a curated record.